This 443-nucleotide ribosomal RNA is filed under the name uncultured bacterium. RNAcentral describes it as "partial 16S ribosomal RNA". It matches the Rfam family "Bacterial small subunit ribosomal RNA", at positions 338 to 795 of the family's 1533-position model. The record is from RNAcentral.
CCUACGGGUGGCAGCAGUGGGGAAUAUUGGGCAAUGGAGGCAACUCUGACCCAGCAACGCCGCGUGAAUGAUGAAGGUCUUCGGAUUGGAAAGUUCUUUUCUAAGGGAAGUAGAAAGUGACGGUACCUUAGGAAUAAGCCUCGGCUAACUACGUGCCAGCAGCAGCGGUAAUACGGAGGAGGCAAGCGUUAUCCGGAUUGACUGGGCGUAAAGGGUGCGUAGGUGGUUUGACAAGUUAGUAGCGCAACUUCGGAGCUCAACCUCGGAAUUACUACUAAAACUGUUGGACUUGAGUGCAGGGGGGGCAAGCGGAAUUCCUGGUGUAGCGGUGGAAUGCGUAGAUAUCAGGAAGAACACCAGUGGCGAAGGCGGAUUGCUAGACUAUAACUGACACUGAUGCACGAAAGCGUGGGGAGCAAACAGGAUUAGAUACCCCAGUAGUC